AGUGAACGCUGGCGGUAGGCCUAACACAUGCAAGGCGAACGGCAGCACAGUAAGAGCUUGCUCUUACGGGUGGCGAGUGGCGGACGGGUGAGGAAUACAUCGGAAUCUACUUUUUCGUGGGGGAUAACGUAGGGAAACUUACGCUAAUACCGCAUACGACCUACGGGUGAAAGCAGGGGAUCUUCGGACCUUGCGCGAUUGAAUGAGCCGAUGUCGGAUUAGCUAGUUGGCGGGGUAAAGGCCCACCAAGGCGACGAUCCGUAGCUGGUCUGAGAGGAUGAUCAGCCACACUGGAACUGAGACACGGUCCAGACUCCUACGGGAGGCAGCAGUGGGGAAUAUUGGACAAAGGGCGCAAGCCUGAUCCAGCCAUACCGCGUGGGUGAAGAAGGCCUUCGGGUUGUAAAGCCCUUUUGUUGGGAAAGAAAAGCAGCAGGUUAAUACCCCGCUGUUCUGACGGUACCCAAAGAAUAAGCACCGGCUAACUUCGUG
This 492-nucleotide ribosomal RNA is filed under the name uncultured bacterium. Its description in RNAcentral is "partial 16S ribosomal RNA". It matches the Rfam family "Bacterial small subunit ribosomal RNA", at positions 29 to 507 of the family's 1533-position model. The record is from RNAcentral.